ACGGAGGAUGCGAGCGUUAUUCGGAAUUACUGGGCUUAAAGGGUGCGUAGGCGGAAUAAUAAGUCAGAGGUGAAAUUCUGCGGCUUAACUGUGGAAGUGCAGUUGAAACUGUUAGACUUGAGUAUGGGCAGGGAAAGUGGAAUUCGCGGUGUAGAGGUGAAAUUCGUAGAUAUCGGGCGGAAUACCGGUGGCGAAGGCGGCUUUCUGGCUGAAUACUGACGCUGAGGCGCGAAAGCGUGGGGAGCAAACAG
This 251-nucleotide ribosomal RNA is filed under the name uncultured prokaryote. RNAcentral's name for it is "partial 16S rRNA". It matches the Rfam family "Bacterial small subunit ribosomal RNA", at positions 525 to 775 of the family's 1533-position model. The record is from RNAcentral.